Molecule: long non-coding RNA, 1585 nt
Filed under: Theobroma cacao (cacao)
Lineage: Eukaryota; Viridiplantae; Streptophyta; Magnoliopsida; Malvales; Malvaceae
Description: long non-coding RNA (TCAC_LNC001106)
Source: RNAcentral
UCAUUUCAACCAAAUAAAAUCAAUUCAUAUAAAUCGAGUAAUCAACAUGGCUUAUAAAUUUCUUAAAUGCUUUGACUUGUGCCAAAAUCAUUCUCAUACCCUGUUGUCAGGGAUACCUUAGCCUGGGGCUAUCCCAACCGAGUUCGCCAAGGUUGUCAAAAAAAUCAUGUACACAUAAAUCAUGUUUUUAUUUUGAAAACAUAGCCGUUCCUUGGCGUUGGCUAAGUUCACCUUCAUGUGGUGGUUUGGCGUGAAGUGAACUCUAAAGUUGUACCCCAGGAGUUACCCUACAUGCCUCUCCAACCGAGGUAAGAAUAUAACGAGGUUACCGUGCCCCUCUAAUAGGCUGGUCCACGGAACCCGCCCACUGCAGCAAGCUAAACCCACCAAUUCAAUAAAAUCUCAACUGCAUGACAUGGCAAUUAUAUCACAAUCUAGCCUCUCAAGGCUAAAUACACAGUUCAUAUAUUUCAACACAAAUACCAAUUCAGCCAUUCAUGCACAUAUUGUCAUAAGCCAUUCAAUUCAAACCAUGAAUUUACAACACAUGAAAACAGUCUCCAAUUACUCUAUUUUCAAACCAUCAUUCAAUUUCAAGACAAUUUUAUAAAAUUAUUUCAUUAAAUCACAUUUUAAUUACAAAAUACAAAGAUUUACCAUUUAACUCAUUUUCCAUAAAAUCGCAAAAUCGGAUAAAAACCACUUUAGAUAAUUAAGAUGAUAGUAAGGUUACUCAAUAUUUCAGGAGUCGAAUUCUGAGUACUUCGAUUCUUGAUCCUUGGGUACUAUCUCUUUACUUUUGCCAGAAAGCUCACCACCUAGACAUAAUGCACAAUAAGCCAUUUACUGCAUUUGUGCUAAAUUGUUAUAAAACCAAUUCAAGCUCUAUACUAAUGCAUGAAAUGGGAUGUAAAUUGUUUGGAUUAUCAUCUAAACAUGGUGUUCUACACAAAUUCAAUUAUGUACCUAAAUAAAACGGUAUUGGCCUAAUUCGAUCUAUCACUCGAUUUAAUUGGCCAAUAUCUCCAAUUUAACUCCCAUUAACUCCAUUUUUCUUCCAAUUCUCCAAACCAUCAAACACAAAUUAAAUAACUUAAAAUAUGGCAAAACCAUCCUCACAUUUUCUCUUGGAAAAUUCGGCCAUGGUGGGUGCAUCAAUACUAUGAUUUUUCCUACUUGAUUUUCUCACUGUAAUUUAUCAUUUCCUAACCAAUUCACUUGAAAUAAAAUCAAAUCCACCAUCCACACUCUACAUGGAAGAUUCGGCCAAUGAUGGGUUAUGGAAGAACAUGAAUUUUUCUUGUUUGUUUUUCAUGCUACACAUCACUAACUAACUAAAAACACUAAAAUACAUUGAAAUCUAACCAGAUCCGAGUUCAAAACUCCUCCCCCCAUGUCCGGCCAGCAAGAGUAUCCUCAUGCAAACUUGAUUCUCAACCAUGGAAAAUGAAAAAGAAUGCAUAGGAAAGGGAAAUCACAAGCUAGAAUUGAAAAAUCUUACCUUUUGUCACUUUAUUCUUUGAAAUUUUGUGAAUUUCUCUUGAAUUUCUUAGCUAGGUUUUUGUUCUUCUUCUUGUCUUCCCUU